AGGAAGUUUUCGGAUGGAAUCUUGAUUGACUGAGUGGCGGACGGGUGAGUAACGCGUGGGUAACCUGCCUCAUACAGGGGGAUAACAGUUAGAAAUGACUGCUAAUACCGCAUAAGCGCACGAUACCGCAUGGUAUUGUGUGAAAAACUCCGGUGGUAUGAGAUGGACCCGCGUCUGAUUAGCUAGUUGGCGGGGUAACGGCCCACCAAGGCGACGAUCAGUAGCCGACCUGAGAGGGUGACCGGCCACAUUGGGACUGAGACACGGCCCAAACUCC
Molecule: ribosomal RNA, 277 nt
Filed under: uncultured Lachnospiraceae bacterium
Lineage: Bacteria; Bacillati; Bacillota; Clostridia; Lachnospirales; Lachnospiraceae
Description: partial 16S ribosomal RNA
Rfam family: Bacterial small subunit ribosomal RNA
Source: RNAcentral